CCCUUAGAUGUUCUGGGCCGCACGCGCGCUACACUGAUGCAUGCAGCGAGUUCUAUCCUUGGCCGGAAGGCCUGGGUAAUCUGUGAACGUGCAUCGUGAUAGGGAUAGAUUAUUGCAAUUAUUAAUCUUGAACGAGGAAUUCCUAGUAAACGCAAGUCAUCAGCUUGCAUUGAUUACGUCCCUGCCCUUUGUACACACCGCCCGUCGCACCUACCGAUCGAAGGUAAUGAUGAGCCCUCAGGAUUGUGGCCUCGUCGCGUCAGCGUCUUGGCUGCGAGAAUCUGUGCAAAUCCCUACCUUUAGAGGAAGGUGAAGUCGUAACA
Molecule: ribosomal RNA, 323 nt
Filed under: uncultured eukaryote
Lineage: Eukaryota
Description: partial 18S ribosomal RNA
Rfam family: Eukaryotic small subunit ribosomal RNA
Source: RNAcentral